This 492-nucleotide ribosomal RNA is filed under the name uncultured bacterium. RNAcentral describes it as "partial 16S ribosomal RNA". It matches the Rfam family "Bacterial small subunit ribosomal RNA", at positions 29 to 507 of the family's 1533-position model. The record is from RNAcentral.
AGUGAACGCUGGCGGUAGGCCUAACACAUGCAAGUCGAACGGCAGCACAGUAAGAGCUUGCUCUUACGGGUGGCGAGUGGCGGACGGGUGAGGAAUACAUCGGAAUCUACUUUUUCGUGGGGGAUAACGUAGGGAAACUUACGCUAAUACCGCAUACGACCUACGGGUGAAAGCAGUGGAUCUUCGGACCUUGCGCGAUUGAAUGAGCCGAUGUCGGAUUAGAUAGUUGGCGGGGUAAAGGCCCACCAAGGCGACGAUCCGUAGCUGGUCUGAGAGGAUGAUCAGCCACCCUGGAACUGAGACACGGUCCAGACUACUACGGGAGGCAGCAGUGGGGAAUAUUGGACAAUGGGCGCAAGCCUGAUCCAGCCAUACCGCGUGGGUGAAGAAGGCCUUCGGGUUGUAAAGCCCUUUUGUUGGGAAAGAAAAGCAGCAGGUUAAUACCCCGCUGUUCUGACGGUACCCAAAGAAUAAGCACCGGCUAACUUCGUG